GUGGAAGAGUAGAAGGCAAGCUAAGUUUCUCAUUCACUAAGAGCAGGCAUGACACAAUCUCACACUCCAACAAUGGAACAUGAGGCCUAGUCACACCUCAAUGUCAUGAGAAAGAGAACUGAAAGCUUCACUCUUCUAGUUGUAGACUCCGGUUGACUAUCAAUGCCUUAUAGCUCGAACUUCGCAAGUCUCCUUACCAUUAUCAAUGGUUAGC
RNAcentral lists this long non-coding RNA (214 nucleotides) under Elaeis guineensis (African oil palm). RNAcentral describes it as "long non-coding RNA (EGUI_LNC010158)". The record is from RNAcentral. Lineage: Eukaryota; Viridiplantae; Streptophyta; Magnoliopsida; Arecales; Arecaceae.